RNAcentral lists this ribosomal RNA (250 nucleotides) under Tiaroga cobitis (loach minnow). RNAcentral's name for it is "partial 12S ribosomal RNA". The record is from RNAcentral. Lineage: Eukaryota; Metazoa; Chordata; Actinopteri; Cypriniformes; Leuciscidae.
AGAGGCCCUAGUUGAUGGUACAACGGCGUAAAGGGUGGUUAAGGACAGUGAAAUAAUAAAGUCGAAUGGCCCUUUGGCUGUCAUACGCUUCUAGGAGUCCGAAGCCCAAUAUACGAAAGUAGCUUUAGAAGAGCCCACCUGACCCCACGAGAACUGAGAAACAAACUGGGAUUAGAUACCCCACUAUGCUCAGCCGUAAACCCAGACGUCCACUUACACUUAGGCGUCCGCCCGGGUACUACGAGCAUUA